CGUAGGUGGCAAGCGUUGUCCGGAUUUAUUGGGUUUAAAGGGUGCGUAGGCGGCCCUGUAAGUCAGUGGUGAAAUAUCUCAGCUUAACUGAGAGGGUGCCAUUGAUACUGCAGGGCUUGAGUACAGAUGAGGUAGGCGGAAUUGACGGUGUAGCGGUGAAAUGCAUAGAUAUCGUCAAGAACACCGAUAGCGAAGGCAGCUUACCAAGCUGUAACUGACGCUGAGGCACGAAAGUGUGGGGAUCAAACAGGAUUAGAUACCCUGGUAGUCCACACUGUAAACGUUGAUGACUCGAUGUUGGCGAUACACAGCCAGCGUCCAAGAGCAAUCGUCAAGUCAUCCACCUGGGGAGUACGCCGGCAACGGUG
This 368-nucleotide ribosomal RNA is filed under the name uncultured organism. RNAcentral describes it as "bacterial SSU rRNA". It matches the Rfam family "Bacterial small subunit ribosomal RNA", at positions 526 to 896 of the family's 1533-position model. The record is from RNAcentral.